RNAcentral lists this ribosomal RNA (510 nucleotides) under uncultured bacterium. Its description in RNAcentral is "partial 16S ribosomal RNA". It matches the Rfam family "Bacterial small subunit ribosomal RNA", at positions 28 to 507 of the family's 1533-position model. The record is from RNAcentral.
GACGAACGCUGGCGGCGUGCUUAACACAUGCAAGUCGAACGAAGAGCGAUGGAAGCUUGCUUCUAUCAAUCUUAGUGGCGAACGGGUGAGUAACGCGUAAUCAACCUGCCCUUCAGAGGGGGACAACAGUUGGAAACGACUGCUAAUACCGCAUACGAUCUAAUCUCGGCAUCGAGGAUAGAUGAAAGGUGGCCUCUACAUGUAAGCUAUCACUGAAGGAGGGGAUUGCGUCUGAUUAGCUAGUUGGAGGGGUAACGGCCCACCAAGGCGAUGAUCAGUAGCCGGUCUGAGAGGAUGAACGGCCACAUUGGGACUGAGACACGGCUCAGACUCCUACGGGAGGCAGCAGUGGGGAAUCUUCCGCAAUAGACGAAAGUCUGACGGAGCAACGCCGCGUGAGUGAUGACGGCCUUCGGGUUGUAAAGCUCUGUUAAUCGGGACGAAAGGCCUUCUUGCGAAUAGUGAGAAGGAUUGACGGUACCGGAAUAGAAAGCCACGGCUAACUACGUG